GGUACUCCGGGGAUAACAGGCUAAUUCCUCCCAAGAGGUCAUAUCGACGGAGGAGUUUGGCACCUCUAUGUCGGCUCAUCACAUCCUGGGGCUGAAGUAGGUCCCAAGGGUAUGGCUGUUCGACAUUUAAAGUGGUACGCGAGCUGGGUUCAGAACGUCGUGAGACAGUUCGGUCCCUAUAUGCCGUGGGCGUUAGAGAUUUGAGAAGAGUUGCUCCUAGUACGAGUGGACCG
This 233-nucleotide ribosomal RNA is filed under the name Francisella tularensis subsp. holarctica. Its description in RNAcentral is "partial 23S ribosomal RNA". It matches the Rfam family "Bacterial large subunit ribosomal RNA", at positions 2462 to 2694 of the family's 2925-position model. The record is from RNAcentral. Lineage: Bacteria; Pseudomonadati; Pseudomonadota; Gammaproteobacteria; Thiotrichales; Francisellaceae.